AAUUAAUGGGGUCUCAACUCUUAAGAAGCUUAUCUCAAGUUUCAGGCAUAUUAUGCAUCAAAAGUCUCCCAGGCACAGCACUCACUACCCUCUGGGGUAGAACAUUUCAGCACUGAACAGAAUAUCAUAAUCUUAAAUAAGCUCAAUCUCAGAAAAGUUUUAAGGGAACACAUAUCUGGACUGUAUGCUCCUCAUAAGGAGGUAUCCCUUCAUUAUAUUUUAGUCUUUUCUGAACUCAGCUAUUCUAGAUCAAUGCCAGUGAACAUGGCAUAAAGAACACAAACUCUUCUUCAACUUGCUCAACCUUUUCUUCCUCUAAUGUCUUAUAAACAAAAAUACAAGAAUUUAAUGUAUAUACAGAGCAGAAAAUACUCUCUGUUUCUUUUCAGAUAUUUUCUUCUUAUAUAAACAGUGGUGAUAGAAUUAGAAGUACCAUUGUUCUGCCUCCAUGUUAAUACUCUUAUUAUCUUGCAUAAACAGAAGUGAAUGAAUACGUGCAUGACACCAAUCAAUCCCUUUUUAAAAAAUGCAGUUUUCAUCUUUCUAAAUAGCGGAGGAAGAACUAAUGAAUUCAACAUGUAGUUUACCUGUUUGUAUUUCUGAAUGUUAAUAAAGUAAAAGCAAAUUAUUGCCCAAGUUCUGUUCAAACUUACAUCAGCCAUUAACACUCUCCAUGCCAGCAUGGGGUGGGGAAAGGUGGCACUAAUGACUCCUAGUCCCUGAAGUCAGUUGGCAAGGGGCUUGGCAGGCUGGAGAGGAUGUCAGGCUGCCAGGGCAGGAGAUUUUGACUUGGUGGGUAGGUAGGAGAUAUUCUCUGGCAGUGAAAGAAAUAUUUUGUUGCAGGGCACAUUGCUAGGGAGAGGUCAUCUGGGGGCAUUAGAUGAGAGGAAUAUCAAAAACAAACAUAAAAAUGCUCUGAGGGCAAGGAAAAAGGGAAAUCACUAUUUUUCCAUCUCCUCAUUAGUUUCCCUUCUUCCUUAGAACAAUUUUAGGGACCAGUGAGAAAAAAAAAAAAAAUAGAGAAGACUUACGAUAAUAUACUGUACAUUUAUAUAUACACAGAAACAAACACACAGCCUAUAUUUGAUUGACCAAGAACUAGAAACUGGGACUUUUGAGAUUUAAAAAAUUCAUGGUAUGUCUGGUCAUAUUAAUCUCCAGACCAGCUGGUUUUUAGCAUCACUGGAAAGCGUUAUAAGAGAAUCAUGAGCACUAACAAAAUGGGGAAAAUGAAAUUUUAUAACGAUUUAUAUUUGUAAGGAGACGGGGACUUUAGAGUUGUCUGUUGAAAUUCCCCCCAAAUUAUUUUGGAACUUAUAUAUGACAAUACCAAGAGAAGGAGCUUAGGAAUUCUCAUUGGGCUUAAGAAACUACUAAACCCUGUAUAUUAUGUUCAUCACAGUCACUCAAGCAAAUAAAGGAUAACUAGAGCAUGGUAUCUCACAGUGAAUAACAUGGUUGGUUACUUUUCCGCUCUGACAUAUGGAGGCAGGGCCCCCAGGAGCGGGGGUCUCCUUAUGAAUACUAUAGAGGGAAACUCAGGCUCAUCAAAAUGCAUAGAAAAUGAAGGAUUAGUGGUACAGUGUCACCCAUGAGGUGCCUAAAUGUAUUCUCUAACCAAGCACUAGCAUUUUAAGCCUUGCAUUCUUAGAAAAAGAAUGCAAUACAAAGCUUAUGGGUAUACUUUAUUUGGUCACUGAGUGGGGGAAGGUGCUGAGACAUAUGACAACAUUCAAUGACUAAGACAGGAGGAUGCAAGAAGAAAGAGGAAACACAGAAAGGGAGAGUGAGUGCCAAAAGAAGGGUGCCAGCUCUGGAGACUCUCUGACAGAAUAAAGAGAUAAUCUCAAAAUAAGGGAACUAAAAGAGCAUGCUUUGAGGGAAACAUCAGUAUACUUGUGGAACUUGAGGCCAAAAGGAAAAAUAUGAGCCUCUUGUCAGUCUUCAUCAACAUCCCAUGGGAGAUUCCUCUAUCUUCUACUUUUACAUACACGAGUACAUUUUUUCCCCCUAAGGAUUAGCCUUCUCUGAUAAUGGUGGUAUAAUUGGGAAUGAAACUCUCACCUCCAAGCCAUGUUUUUGAGUCCAAUCCAUGCCCUUCAAAGUGUUCAGUCUACUUUCUGUGGUUUCUCUGGGACCAAUGGCAAAAGGUAUGGGUGGAGCAGGCUUCCUUCUUGAUAUAUACAUGGCUCUAGAAAAUAAGUGCUUUAACCUUCUUACCAGGACUUUUUGAUUUUCAUAUUUUCCUCUUUUCUCACACUAUACUAUCAAUCUCCAAUUUUUUCUCUACCAGCCUUGGCUCUCAUGGUUGUUAAAUUUAAAGACAUUCAUCAUCAGUUUCCUCAUCUAUAGCCCUCAACUGUACCUUGCAAGUUCUUGAGGCCAGAUGAACCUAUACGUGUAUGUUCUUUUUAGCUCCCAGGCUGCUGAGCAGUGAUGAGGAAAAAUUACAAAACUGUAUAGCUUUGUGCCCCUCCAGAAUCCUGGUAUCCAACUUGAGCUGGAGUUUCAGAACUACUUUACAAUUCCUCUAUUUUCUUAUGGUCAGUUUCCUUUUUCAGUCCCCAGUUUCCAUUUAUCACACUAAUUAUUUCCUUAUAACUUACCUCUACUCUUUAUUCUCAGCUAUUAACCCUG
This 2637-nucleotide long non-coding RNA is filed under the name Sus scrofa (pig). RNAcentral describes it as "lncRNA (ENSSSCG00000057478.1)". Lineage: Eukaryota; Metazoa; Chordata; Mammalia; Artiodactyla; Suidae. The record is from RNAcentral.